This 527-nucleotide long non-coding RNA is filed under the name Homo sapiens (human). RNAcentral's name for it is "HSALNT0353620". The record is from RNAcentral. Lineage: Eukaryota; Metazoa; Chordata; Mammalia; Primates; Hominidae.
GCGGUGCUGGCCGGGCACCGUGGCUGUGCCUGGCAGGCCUGCUGAGGGCACAGGGAUUCAUCGCGCUUGGCUCAGAAGCUUCGUUUUUCUGAGACAGCUCCCAGCUUCACUCAAACGUGGUUACCUACAGAUGCAAACUGGAAACGAUGCACUGUUUGUUCCCUUGCAAUCUCUACGGUGAGCAGGCAGGAGCCCCAGCCAGAGUCCUGUGGUCACACACCCACUGGUGGUCAGGCGAUUACUUUAAAACAUGAAAGAAAUUGCACCUUUUCCUUAAGGGCAAGAUGGUGCUGUGGGCUUUCCUCUCUCCUGAUGAGAUGAUGCAAAUGGACUCCAUAGAGAAACGCUGCCCGUGUAACAAUGCAGUUACGCAACCCGGUGCAUGACACAUGAAUUGCAGCGCACCUGAGAUCCUGAUGAAAUCCUGGGAGCCUGGAGCUGUCAAACAUGGUUUUAAAAAAUAAAGGGAAUACACCCAGCCCACACCCUGACUUUACAACCUUUAAUUAAUUAGAGGAAAGAAAGAG